Molecule: ribosomal RNA, 292 nt
Filed under: uncultured bacterium
Lineage: Bacteria
Description: partial 16S ribosomal RNA
Rfam family: Bacterial small subunit ribosomal RNA
Source: RNAcentral
GUUCCAGCAGCCGCGGUAAGACAGAGGGUGCAAACGUUGUUCGGAAUUACUGGGCGUAAAGCGCGUGUAGGCUGCUCCGCAAGUCGGAUGUGAAAGCCCUGGGCUCAACCUAGGAAGUGCAUUCGAUACUGCGGAGCUGGAGUCCUGGAGAGGAAGGCGGAAUUCUCGGUGUAGAGGUGAAAUGCGUAGAUAUCGGAAGGAACAUCAGUGGCGAAGGCACCAUCCUGGGGAGUCACUGACGCUCAUGUACGAAAGCUAGGGGAGCGAACGGGAUUAGAUACCCCUGUAGUCC